UACGGAGGGAGCAAGCGUUACUCGGAAUUAUUGGGCGUAAAGGGCGCGUAGGCGAUUUGAAAAGUCUUGUGUGAAAGCCCCGAGCUUAACUCGGGAAGUGCACAAGAAACUGUUGAAUUUGAGUUCCGGAGAGGGCAGCAGAAUUCCCGGUGUAGUGGUGAAAUGCGUAGAUAUCGGAAGGAACAUCAGUGGCGAAAGCGACUUCCUGGACCAGUACCGACGUUCAGGCACGAAAGCGUGGGGAGCAAACAGG
RNAcentral lists this ribosomal RNA (253 nucleotides) under uncultured bacterium. RNAcentral's name for it is "partial 16S ribosomal RNA". It matches the Rfam family "Bacterial small subunit ribosomal RNA", at positions 524 to 776 of the family's 1533-position model. The record is from RNAcentral.